CAGUAGCCGCGGUAAUACGGAGGGGGCUAGCGUUGUUCGGAAUUACUGGGCGUAAAGCGCACGUAGGCGGCUUUGUAAGUUAGAGGUGAAAGCCUGGAGCUCAACUCCAGAAUUGCCUUUAAGACUGCAUCGCUUGAAUCGCGGAGAGGUGAGUGGAAUUCCGAGUGUAGAGGUGAAAUUCGUAGAUAUUCGGAAGAACACCAGUGGCGAAGGCGGCUCACUGGACGCGUAUUGACGCUGAGGUGCGAAAGCGUGGGGAGCAAACAGGAUUAGAUACCCCGGUAGUCCCUGUCUCUUAUAC
RNAcentral lists this ribosomal RNA (301 nucleotides) under uncultured bacterium. RNAcentral's name for it is "partial 16S ribosomal RNA". It matches the Rfam family "Bacterial small subunit ribosomal RNA", at positions 509 to 807 of the family's 1533-position model. The record is from RNAcentral.